Molecule: long non-coding RNA, 653 nt
Filed under: Bemisia tabaci
Lineage: Eukaryota; Metazoa; Arthropoda; Insecta; Hemiptera; Aleyrodidae
Description: lncRNA ENSASIAIIG006562
Source: RNAcentral
GAGCUCUGAGCCCAGGAGGAGAGACGGUGGCCCCCGCAUACAUCGCCAAGUACAAUCGAUUCAUCGACACAAUCUUGAUGAGAGUUAACAAAAUCUUGAAGAAAAGCUACGACCCAGUGAACGUCCGUCUUCAAAGCCCGGUCGACACAAAGAAAAAAGGCCCGAAACCUGCCGCUACGAAGAAGAACAAGCCAAAAACCAAGCUGAAGACCAAGAGGCGACCUGUCAACAAAGAAACUCGAACCGAUGAGCAGCAACUAAACCGCACCUCUCAACAAUCUCAAACUUCUAACGCAGUGUCAGACUCAGCCUCUUUAAAGGUAGAACCAAAGAAUGACCAAGGAAGCAGUCUGCCUACCGAUGGAGCAACCUCUCCGCAACAAAACGUAGCCGCCUCCAAUAGGAGACAACAAAGGAAACGAAAAGUAGUCAAAACAAAGACGAAGGUGCAGAUAGCGAGAAAUAACCCAAGAGCAAAGGCCACCCUGUAUGGUUUGUCAUCUAUGCGAAGGGACGGUGACGUCACAGCUAAUGUUAUGCGCUCGCAUACAACUGUGAGGGCGAAAUUCUUGGUCGGCCCACUCACCCUCAAAGUAGAGAAAGAGGUAAAUCCUGACAAUUUUCGACGAGUUCGUCAAUUAUUUUACAAAUGA